AUUGAACGCUGGCGGCAGGCUUAACACAUGCAAGUCGAGCGGGGUGAUGGUGCUUGCACUAUCACUUAGCGGCGGACGGGUGAGUAAUGCUUAGGAAUCUGCCUAUUAGUGGGGGACAACAUCUCGAAAGGGAUGCUAAUACCGCAUACGUCCUACGGGAGAAAGCAGGGGAUCACUUGUGACCUUGCGCUAAUAGAUGAGCCUAAGUCGGAUUAGCUAGUUGGUGGGGUAAAGGCCUACCAAGGCGACGAUCUGUAGCGGGUCUGAGAGGAUGAUCCGCCACACUGGGACCGAGACACGGCCCAGACCCCUACGGGAGGCAGCAGUGGGGAAUAUUGGACAAUGGGGGGAACCCUGAUCCAGCCAUGCCGCGUGUGUGAAGAAGGCCUUAUGGUUGUAAAGCACUUUAAGCGAGGAGGAGGCUCUUUUGGUUAAUACCCAAGAUGAGUGGACGUUACUCGCAGAAUAAGCACCAGCUAACUCUGUGCCAGCCGCCGCAGUAA
Molecule: ribosomal RNA, 503 nt
Filed under: uncultured bacterium
Lineage: Bacteria
Description: partial 16S ribosomal RNA
Rfam family: Bacterial small subunit ribosomal RNA
Source: RNAcentral